AUACGGAGGGUGCGAGCGCUAAUCGGAAUUACUGGGCGUAAAGCGUGCGUAGGCGGUCUGUUAAGUCAGAAGUGAAAGCCCUGGGCUCAACCUGGGAACGGCUUUUGAGACUGGCAGACUCGAGUUGAGUAGAGGGGAGUGGAAUUUCCGGUGUAGCGGUGAAAUGCGUAGAGAUCGGAAGGAACACCAGUGGCGAAGGCGACUCCCUGGACUCAAACUGACGCUGAGGUACGAAAGCGUGGGUAGCAAACAGGAUUAGAAACCCUAGUAGUCC
RNAcentral lists this ribosomal RNA (274 nucleotides) under uncultured bacterium. RNAcentral's name for it is "partial 16S ribosomal RNA". It matches the Rfam family "Bacterial small subunit ribosomal RNA", at positions 523 to 796 of the family's 1533-position model. The record is from RNAcentral.